UCUUGGUCAUUUAGAGGAAGUAAAAGUCGUAACAAGGUUUUCCGUAGGUGAACCUGCGGAAGGAUCAUUAGAAGAAUCUGUACUAAGAUACAAUUCUGACACCCACCCUCUGUGUACCUUUCCCGUUGCUUCCAUGGGGUAUGGAGCGGGCUGGCCCCGAUAUACUCCAGCUGAGUCAGGAUGGCACUUAUUCCCUGGCUUGGUGCCCAUGAAUGGACCCUCAAACACUUUGUAUUUAUUUUGCCUUCUGUCUGAAUUAUGUUUAUAACAAUCGUUAAAACUUUCAACAACGGAUCUCUUGGUUCUCGCAUCGAUGAAGAACGCAGCGAAAUGCGAUAAGUAGUGUGAAUUGCAGAAUUCAGUGAAUCAUCGAAUCUUUGAACGCACAUUGCGCCUUCUGGUAUUCCGGGAGGCAUGCCUGCUCGAGCGUCAUGGCGACGAUAUUUCAAGCUCUUUUUGCUUGGUUCUGAAGGUUGAAUGUUGCAUUCACCUUUGAAAUUUACUGGCGGACGGCUUCGUGUUCCUUUUGGCGUUAUAGGAUAACUCUUUCGCUUGAACUCGUUGGCCUGUCCUGCCCUCAAACCCCCAACUAUUUUUUGGUUGACCUCGGCUUGGUAGGGAUACCCGCUGAACUUAAGCAUAUCAAUA
Molecule: ribosomal RNA, 648 nt
Filed under: uncultured Otidea
Lineage: Eukaryota; Fungi; Ascomycota; Pezizomycetes; Pezizales; Pyronemataceae
Description: eukaryotic LSU rRNA
Rfam family: 5.8S ribosomal RNA (bases 279-432)
Source: RNAcentral